UACGUAGGGACCAAGCGUUGUUCGGAUUUACUGGGCGUAAAGGGCGCGUAGGCGGCAAUUCAAGUCAUCUGUGAAAUCUCCCGGCUUAACUGGGAGGGGUCGUGCGAUACGAGCGGGCUCGAGGCAGGUAGGGGGAAGCGGAAUUCCCGGUGUAGUGGUGGAAUGCGUAGAUAUCGGGAGGAACACCAGUGGCGAAGGCGGCUUCCUGGACCUGAUCUGACGCUGAGGAGCGAAAGCGUGGGGAGCGAUCCGG
Molecule: ribosomal RNA, 253 nt
Filed under: uncultured bacterium
Lineage: Bacteria
Description: partial 16S ribosomal RNA
Rfam family: Bacterial small subunit ribosomal RNA
Source: RNAcentral